GGGGAAGUAGAUCAGCUGGUUAGAUCGUCACGUUGACAUCGUGAAGGUCCGCGGUUCGAGUCCGCGCUUCCCCACCA
Molecule: transfer RNA, 77 nt
Filed under: Bacillota bacterium
Lineage: Bacteria; Bacillati; Bacillota
Description: tRNA-Val
Rfam family: tRNA
About the family: Transfer RNA (tRNA) molecules are approximately 80 nucleotides in length. Their secondary structure includes four short double-helical elements and three loops (D, anti-codon, and T loops). Further hydrogen bonds mediate the characteristic L-shaped molecular structure. tRNAs have two regions of fundamental functional importance: the anti-codon, which is responsible for specific mRNA codon recognition, and the 3' end, to which the tRNAs corresponding amino acid is attached (by aminoacyl-tRNA synthetases). tRNAs cope with the degeneracy of the genetic code in two manners: having more than one tRNA (with a specific anti-codon) for a particular amino acid; and 'wobble' base-pairing, i.e. permitting non-standard base-pairing at the 3rd anti-codon position.
Source: RNAcentral